This 1649-nucleotide long non-coding RNA is filed under the name Strigops habroptila (Kakapo). RNAcentral describes it as "lncRNA (ENSSHBG00005000044.1)". The record is from RNAcentral. Lineage: Eukaryota; Metazoa; Chordata; Aves; Psittaciformes; Psittacidae.
UCAUAAUCCAAUUAAAAUUUUAUUAAUUAUAGCAAGUAGAAUAUGAGCAAAAACAGCGCUGGACGACAGGGGAGUCUGCGCUCCGCCACUGCCGUGCUGAGCAGUUCAAACAGUCCCUUUUUAUACAUCUUUACUUCCGUGUUCAUGAAGUAGUGGAGGUACUCUGCGCAUGCUUCAGUUGUUGUUAGGGGGUCGUUUUCUACCUCCUGGUGGUCGUUGAGGCCGAAAUAAGAAGUCUUUCUCCUUUAUCCCAUAGUUGACCCCUCAUUCACAUGUCCUUAUCUGGGGUUGUUUGUCCUGUUUCUGUCGGUUCCUGGAAGUCUGGCGGUUAUCUCGCGAUUGUGGUUAUCUUAUCUUACUCAAGCAGUGUCCGGGUUUCUGUUUGCAUAAGCGAUUUCACAUCUUUGUUGCCUGACCUUUACAUUGAGCUUAACAUAAAUCUUAAUAAACAAUAUCCUAGUCCAUAGUUUCUCACAAUCCCCCCUUUUUCUUUUUAUCCUAUUAUUGUUUAUUAGACGUUACUUUCAUUUUCGGCACUGCGAACAAACCUUUUUCCACAAUCCCAAUAUUUAUCAUAACACUCACAAGGUAAUACCUCACAAUUACAAAAGGCAUAGUUCUCACGUGGCAUAAUGUAUUCACAGCAAUCUUCAUCUUCAUUAAUAGAUACACUCUUAUAUUUUGCCCCAGACCUCGUAGUUAAAAUAAGCAGUUUAGCUAUGUCAAACCGUUCUUUAAUAAAGUGUAUUUUAUAUCAACGUAAGAAAGAUCGUGAGGCGGGCAAGUCAUGGUACGAAAACUGGUUUAAUGUUUCACCUUGGCUAACCACUUUGUUGUCCGCCUUAGCAGGACCGCUUAUCAUGUUGAUUUUGGGACUCAUAUUUGGGCCUUGUAUAUUACGCUAUAUUUUUACACUUUAUUAAAGAACGGUUUGACAUAGCUAAACUGCUUAUUUUAACUACGAGGUCUGGGGCAAAAUAUAAGAGUGUAUCUAUUAAUGAAGAUGAAGAUUGUUGUGAAUGCAUUAUGCCACGCGAGAACUAUGCCUUUUGUAAUUGUGAGGUAUUACCUUGUGAGUGUUAUGAUAAAUGUUGGGAUUAGGUUUGUUCGCAGUGCCGAAAAUGAAAGUAACGUCUAAUAAACAAUAAUAGGAUAAAAAGAAAAAGGGGGGAUUGUGAGAAACUAUGGACUAGUAUAUUGUUUAUUAAGAUUUAUGUUAAGCUCAAUGUAAAGGUUAGGCAACAAAGAUGUGAAAUCGCUUAUGCAGACAGAAACUCGGACACUGCUUGAGUAAGAUAAGAUAACCACAAUCGCGAGAUAACCGCCAGACUUCCAGGAACCGACAGAAACAGGACAAACAACCCCAGAUAAGGACAUGUGAAUGAGGGGUCAACUAUGGGAUAAAGGAGGAAGACUUCUUACUUCGGCCUCAACGACCACCAGGAGGUAGAAAACGACCCCCUAACCACAACUGAAGCAUGCGCAGAGUACCUCCACUACUUCAUGAACACGGAAGUAAAGAUGUAUAAAAAGGGACUGUUUGAACUGCUCAGCACGGCAGUGGCGGAGCGCAGACUCCCCUGUCGUCCAGCGCUGUUUUUGCUCAUAUUCUACUUGCUAUAAUUAAUAAAAUUUUAAUUGGAUUAUGA